Molecule: unclassified non-coding RNA, 247 nt
Filed under: Exophiala sp.
Lineage: Eukaryota; Fungi; Ascomycota; Eurotiomycetes; Chaetothyriales; Herpotrichiellaceae
Description: partial contains 5.8S ribosomal RNA, internal transcribed spacer 2, and large subunit ribosomal RNA
Source: RNAcentral
CGCACAUUGCGCCCUUUGGCAUUCCGAAGGGCAUGCCUGUUCGAGCGUCAUUAUCAACCCUCAAGCCUAGCUUGGUGUUGGGCGACGGUGGUCACGCACCCGCCCCAAAGAUAACGACGGCGUCUGCACGACCCCCGGUACAACGAGCUUUUAACAAGGCACGUACUGCGGUGGGCGUGGAGAUCCGGUCUUACCAUUUCUUUCUCAGGUUGACCUCGGAUCAGGUAGGGAUACCCGCUGAACUUAA